Arabidopsis lyrata subsp. lyrata is the source of this 3798-nucleotide RNA transcript. It is a transcript of the gene named disease resistance protein TAO1, with no coding region annotated. The record is from RefSeq and is a predicted model, not a curated record. Lineage: Eukaryota; Viridiplantae; Streptophyta; Magnoliopsida; Brassicales; Brassicaceae. The transcript is spliced from 6 exons.
UGUUAGUGGAUCUCAUUUUUCUAAAGAAUUAAGCAUUCUAUACCAAAGCUAAUCCUCUUGUUUGCUAGUACAGUUUCAACAUAUUCUCACUUUCUCGGUCAAUGGAGUCAACCUUCUUUGUUUAGUAUAAGUCUGUUUUGCAACUUCUUCAUCCGCAUAGCUCUCUUUAAAGCUCUCUGAUAUUAUUAAUCCUCUCUCCAAUAAUACUAACUAAUGGAUUCUUCUUCUUCUUUUAUCCUUACCACUGUUGCUGCUGCAAUAGGCUUCUUCACGCUUCUUAGAAAUCUCAGAUGCCAUCAAGAAGAUGACAAAGAAAAUAAUUCUUCUUCUUCUACUUCAUCACCUCCGUCUUCUUCAUCGUCUUUGUCUCCUCCAUCGUCUUUGGAUCGCAUCUGGACACACCAUGUGUUUCCAAGUUUUCGAGGGGAAGAUGUCCGUAGAGACUUUCUUAGUCACAUUCAGAUGGAGUUUCAAAGAAUGGGAAUCACACCAUUCAUUGAUAAUGAGAUCGAGAGAGGACAAUCCAUCGGUCCUGAACUCAUUCGAGCAAUUAGAGAAUCCAAGAUCGCAAUUAUCUUGCUGUCAAGAAACUACGCUUCUUCGAGCUGGUGUCUUGACGAAUUGGCGGAGAUUAUGAAGUGCAGGGAAGAAUUGGGUCAAACAGUUUUGGCUGUUUUCUAUAAAGUGGAUCCAUCUGAUGUAAAGAAGCUGACCGGAGAUUUUGGAAAAGUCUUCAAAAAAACAUGUGCCGGUAAAACAAAAGAGCACGUUGGGAGAUGGAGACAAGCUUUGGCAAAUGUCGCCACAAUCGCCGGUUACCAUUCGACCAACUGGGAUAAUGAAGCUACCAUGAUUAGAAAUAUCGCUACUGAUAUAUCCAACAAGUUGAAUAAUUCUGCCUCAUCAAGUGAUUUUGAUGGGUUGGUUGGGAUGACUGCUCAUUUGAAGAAGAUGGAACCAUUGUUAUGCCUAGGCUCAGAUGAAGUGAGGAUGAUUGGGAUUUGGGGUCCUUCUGGGAUUGGGAAGACGACCAUCGCCAGAGUUGUAUACAACAAACUCUCUAGCAGUUUUCAACUGAGUGUCUUUAUGGAAUCUAUCGAAUCAAAAUAUACAAGACCAUGUUCCGAUGACUAUUGUGCCAAGUUGCAGUUACAACAGCAGUUUAUGUCUCAAAUAACCAACCAGAAUGAUAUGAAGAUUUCUCAUUUAGGUGUUGUUCAAGAUAGGCUAAAAGACAAGAAAGUUCUUGUUGUUCUUGAUGGUGUGGACAAGUCAAUGCAACUAGAUGCCAUGGCAAAAGAAACUUGGUGGUUUGGUCCUGGGAGUCGGAUUAUCAUCACAACACAAAAUCGAAAGAUUUUUAGGGAACAUGGGAUUAACCAUAUUUACAAGGUGAAUUUUCCAUCAACUGAUGAGGCCCUUCAAAUCUUGUGCACAUAUGCUUUUGGUCAAAACUCCCCUAAACAUGGUUUUGAAGAACUGGCUCGGGAAGUUACACAACUUGCUGGUGAACUUCCUUUGUGUCUUAGGGUUAUAGGCUCGUAUUUUCGAGGAAUGUCUAAGCUGGAGUGGACGAAAGCACUACCAAGGUUAAGGAGUAGCCUUGACGCUGAUAUUCUUAGCAUUUUGAAGUUCAGCUAUGAUGCCUUAGAUGACGAAGACAAAUAUUUGUUUCUUCAUAUAGCUUGCUUCUUCAAUCGUGAAUGGAUUGUGAAAGUGGAAGAGUAUCUUGCAGAGACGUUCUUGGAUGUGAGUCAUCGGCUUAAUGGCUUAGCUGAAAAAUCGCUCAUAUCUUUGAAUAGGGGAUAUAUAAACAUGCAUGAUUUGCUAGUCAAACUAGGUAGAGAUAUUGUCCGUAAACAGUCUAUUCGUGAGCCUGGACAACGACUAUUUUUGGUUGAUGCACGAGAAAUUUGUGAUGUACUCAACCUUGAUGCGAACGGUAGUAGAAGUGUUAUGGGCAUAAAUUUCAACUUUGGUGAGUAUAGGAUCAAGGAAAAGUUACAUAUAAGUGAGAGAGCCUUUCAAGGAAUGUCUAAUCUCCAAUUCUUAAGAUUCGAAGGGAAUAACAAUACAAUACAUCUACCGCACGGUUUAGAGUAUAUAUCUCGUAAACUUCGAUUACUACACUGGACUUAUUUUCCGAUGACAUGUUUGCCUCCUAUUUUCAACACGGAGUUCCUGGUUGAACUACACAUGCGUUACAGCAAACUUGAGAAGUUGUGGGAAGGAAUUAAACCGCUUCCAAAUCUCAAGUGGAUGGAUUUGUGUUGGUCUCUCCUCUUAAAGGAGCUUCCUGACCUCUCAACUGCCACCAAUCUUCAGGAAUUGAAUCUGAGUGGUUGCUCCAGCCUGGUGAAGCUCCCCUCCACUAUUGGGUAUACCAAAAAUCUCCGAAAGUUAUAUCUCGAUGGAUGCUCAAGUCUGGUGGAGCUCCCUUUUUCUAUUGGGAAUCUCAUCAAUCUAAAAGUAUUGAAUCUUAGCAGUUUAUCAUGUCUAGUAUCACUCCUACAGAUUCCAGAUUCCAUCUCUCACAUAGAUGCAGAAGAUUGUGAGUCCCUGGAGAGACUAGAUUGCUCCUUUCACAAUCCAAAUAUUUGCCUCAAAUUUGCUAAGUGCUUCAAACUGAAUCAAGAAGCCAGAGACCUCAUCAUCCAGACACCAACUAGUGAAUAUGCGGUCUUACCCGGCAGAGAAGUGCCUGCAUACUUCACUCACCAAUCUACUACUGGAGGUUCCUUGACAAUCAAGCUGAACGAGAAGCCUCUUCCUACAUCCAUGCGGUUUAAGGCUUGCAUUUUGCUGGUUCAUAAAGGUGAUGAUGAGGCUCGUGAUGAUAAAAACUGGAUGGAUGAAAAUGGCUGCUAUGUUAGUUGUAAAAAAAGUAAGCAUUAUUUAUAUCCAGUUUUAGCAGAGCAUAUGUACGUAUUUGAAGUCGAAGCAGAUGUGACUUCCAGCGAGCUUGUCUUUGAGUUCAAGAUCGACAGUAAAAAUAAGAAAUGGAAGAUAAAAGAAUGUGGGGUAUUCCAACUCUCAGAGGUUCCUUGAUGAAUCUUCAAAAAGUGAUUUCUGAAACACCCUUGAUGAAACUGAAGUCUGUGGUGAAGUAAUGGAAAUAGUCACUACACAAUUCAAGAGCAUAAUGAGAGAAGCAAAAAGUUAGGUUUUUCGUCGGACGGUGAGCAAUUACGGUGAGCAAAGUAUCGUCAAGCCGCCCAUCAGGCUGUCACCAACGUACACUAAUUUACGAGAUCUAAAUUCAACAGUGUUACCUGUUGCUGCUGAACUUUUUUUGUGCAGAACCCACAGGUCUUUUACUCGUUGUUGCCGCUACAGCUCCUAUGGAGCGGCUAAGAAAAAAACUUCUUUGCACCAAAGAUACUACUGCUCCUAUGGUCUGAAAGUCUUAAUUUUUUAUGCUUAUAUUGAGUUCUUUGAUUGCCUUUGUUGAUGAUGUGAAGAUGUUUUUGUUCUUUUUGGGAUGUGUUUAGAUCAAACGAAAGACUUGAAACUUCUCUUAGAUCUUUGAAAUCUGUGUUCUAAGAGCAUCGAACCCAGCGGUGGCAUCGGUUAUCUUCUUCCUCCUCAGGUCUUUUGCUCGUUGCUGCCGCUGCAGCCGUUAUGGAACGACCAAAAACCUUCUUUGCACCAAUGAUAACUCUAAGUCAAGUGUUAUGAAAGUAUAGAUUUUUAAAGCUUUUUAUAAAGUUCUUUGAUUGCUUUUUGUUACUGACAUGAAGAUGUUGUUCUGUUUGGGAUGUAUAGAUAGUUCAAAUAAAGGAGUUGAAACUUCUCUCA